RNAcentral lists this ribosomal RNA (245 nucleotides) under uncultured bacterium. Its description in RNAcentral is "partial 16S ribosomal RNA". It matches the Rfam family "Bacterial small subunit ribosomal RNA", at positions 524 to 768 of the family's 1533-position model. The record is from RNAcentral.
GACGGGGGGAGCAAGCGUUGUUCGGAAUCACUGGGCGUAAAGGGCGUCUAGGCGGACCGGUAAGUCAGAGGUGAAAGCUCUCGGCCUAACUGAGGAAUUGCCUUUGAAACUGUCGGUCUUGAGUGUGGGAGAGGUGCGGAGAAUUCCCGGUGUAGCGGUGAAAUGCGUAGAUAUCGGGAAGAAUGCCGGUGGCGAAGGCGCCGCACUGGCCUGACACUGACGCUGAAGCGCGAAAGCGUGGGGAG